CUAAUUUUGCCAGCCAGUGCACUUUGUGUCAACCACUGAUGGCUAAUAGAGUAAAUAAUUAUAAAGCUACCUUGCCAUAAAUCGCAAGGUAGCUUUAUAAUUAGUUUCUCUCUUUUCCUCUCUUGCUGCACUGAAGUGGAGAUAGUAGCCGCAUCAAACAUCACGGAUAACCUCCCCUCUACACUGGGCUGCAGGGGGGGGUUGACUUCGCCCCCCCCCGAAAUGAUGAGGAAGAGCAUGAAUCAAACUGCUCCCGGGAGGCUCACAGGGAGAUGUGAGUCGUCAGCUUCGGCUCGGUGGCCAAGCCGCCGGCGGUCAGACUGGGAUCGCUUUCCCUCCAUCAGCAGGAUGUUAAGAGCCAAAACCCUGAGUGGUCUGCAAUGUGAGGCCUGAAAGACAGGGGUUGCAGAGCAGUUUAACAGCGAGUGCUAUGAGUUGGAAAAUGUGCGAUUUUCUCUGGAGGAUGUCAACUAAUCUACUCGGAUAAGAAACAUUCAAACGCAAUUUGACGAAACAACUACUGAAGCGCCAAACUAAUGCAAGUCCCAAGCGUCCUGCUUCACAACAACCUGCAACCGAUGGCUCUUCAGAACUGAGUGUACACAACCCCCAUACCAACCAAUUUCUCAUCUAACGCACGGAUCCACUCUACUAACAGGAGUCAAGUGGAGUCUAUAUUUCAAAGAGGGCACUGCGUUGUAGCUGAGGCAAUUACAAACAAGCUUUCACCCCCUGAAAAGCUGCCAACGAGUUUACGCCUCUGUCAGCAGUUUGCUUCGGGGCUUCUGUUGAAGCAACGUGAUGAUUUUCAGUCCCAGUUACUGUAUCAUGACCAAAGUUUGUCUACCUGCCUCGGGGGAAGUGAUAAAAAAACAAAAAAACACACGGCAAGUAUUUAUCCUGUGUAGUCAAGAAGUCGUCUCUUGAAAGGAUAAGAGGGGUCUGGAAGUGGGAGAAGAAUGGAGUCUUCAAAGAGCAGGAGAGACACUGCAGCCAAACUUCCAUUACACCUUGCGGCAGUGGAAUAAAGCAAAAGCAGCAGGGAAGUAUUAAUUCACUGUGCUGGAUCGCUGGUGUUUAUCUCCUUUCGCUGUGGCCCAACAUAUAACUUUGUUUGCUCGUUUGGCUCUGUUGCUACUGGGAGAUUAAUAGGUUCUCCGUGGAGAACCUCCCUUGAUCACGUACAUCCAUGUGAGGUGGAUCAUAUUUCACUGCUGUAAAAUGUAGACACAACCGAUCUGAACAUAUUUGGGUCUUAAAUGUUGUUUGGAUGAAUCAAGACAUUUGAAGUUGGCGGAAGGUAAUUUCUUUUUAAAAGUCUAUAGAAACUUGAUUUCUGAUUAUUAAUCUAUUUGAUGUGUCUGACAAUGAGUUUUUUUAAUAUAUGAUGAUAAGGAC
This is a long non-coding RNA of Gasterosteus aculeatus aculeatus (three-spined stickleback), 1398 nucleotides long. The record is from Ensembl. Lineage: Eukaryota; Metazoa; Chordata; Actinopteri; Perciformes; Gasterosteidae.